GGUAGGGUCCAAGUCGUUAAUCGGGAAUUACGUGGGGACGUAAAGCGUGCGCAGGCGGUUGUGCAAGACCGAUGUGAAACGUCCCCGGGGCUUAAACCUGGGGAAUUGCAUUGGUGACUGCACGGCUAGAGUGUGUCAGAGGGGGGGUAGAAUUCCACGUGUAGCAGUGAAAUGCGUAGAGAUGUGGAGGAAUACCGAUGGCGAAGGCAGCCCCCUGGGAUAACACUGACGCUCAUGCACGAAAGCGUGGGGAGCAAACAGGACUAGAUACCCUGGUAGUCCACGCCCUAAACGAUGUCAACUAGUUGUUGGGGAUUCAUUUCCUUAGUAACGUAGCUAACGCGUGGAGUUGACCGCCUGGGGAGUACGGUCGCAAGAUUA
This 381-nucleotide ribosomal RNA is filed under the name uncultured organism. RNAcentral describes it as "partial 16S ribosomal RNA". It matches the Rfam family "Bacterial small subunit ribosomal RNA", at positions 526 to 896 of the family's 1533-position model. The record is from RNAcentral.